UACGAAGGGAGCUAGCGUUGUUCGGAAUCACUGGGCGUAAAGCGCACGUAGGCGGAUGUGUCAGUCAGGGGUGAAAUCCCGGAGCUCAACUUCGGAACUGCCUUUGAUACAGCACGUCUUGAGUCCGAUAGAGGUGGGUGGAAUUCCUAGUGUAGAGGUGAAAUUCGUAGAUAUUAGGAAGAACACCGGUGGCGAAGACGGCCCACUGGAUCGGUACUGACGCUGAGGUGCGAAAGCGUGGGGAGCAAACAGG
RNAcentral lists this ribosomal RNA (253 nucleotides) under uncultured bacterium. RNAcentral's name for it is "partial 16S ribosomal RNA". It matches the Rfam family "Bacterial small subunit ribosomal RNA", at positions 524 to 776 of the family's 1533-position model. The record is from RNAcentral.